RNAcentral lists this ribosomal RNA (256 nucleotides) under uncultured bacterium. RNAcentral describes it as "partial 16S ribosomal RNA". It matches the Rfam family "Bacterial small subunit ribosomal RNA", at positions 524 to 777 of the family's 1533-position model. The record is from RNAcentral.
UACGUAGGGUGCAAGCGUUAAUCGGAAUUACUGGGCGUAAAGCGUGCGCAGGCGGUUUUGUAAGUCUGUCGUGAAAUCCCCGGGCUCAACCUGGGAAUUGCGAUGGAGACUGCAAGGCUAGAAUCUGGCAGAGGGGGGUAGAAUUCCACGUGUAGCAGUGAAAUGCGUAGAGAUGUGGAGGAACACCGAUGGCGAAGGCAGCCCCCCUGGGUCAAGAUUGACGCUCAUGCACGAAAGCGUGGGGGAGCAAACAGGG